UCCGGCUUAACGCCGGCAGUCUCUCUAGAGUGCCCAACUUAAUGGUGGCAACUAAAGACGAGGGUUGCGCUCGUUGCGGGACUUAACCCAACACCUCACGGCACGAGCUGACGACAGCCAUGCAGCACCUGAACCGGCAGUCCCCGAAGGGAAGAUCCUAUUUCUAGGACUGUCCACCGUUGUCUAGCCCAGGUAAGGUUCUUCGCGUUGCGUCGAAUUGAACCACAUGCUCCACCGCUUGUGCGGGCCCCCGCCUAUUCCUUUGAGUUUUAACCUUGCGGCCGUAGUCCCCAGGCGGUGAACUUAAUGCGUUAGCUGCGGCACUGAUCGGGUCAAUCCGACCAACACCUAGUUCACAACGUUUAGGGCGUGGACUAC
This 378-nucleotide unclassified non-coding RNA is filed under the name uncultured delta proteobacterium. Its description in RNAcentral is "contains 16S-23S intergenic spacer region". The record is from RNAcentral. Lineage: Bacteria; Deltaproteobacteria.